Molecule: long non-coding RNA, 470 nt
Organism: Propithecus coquereli (Coquerel's sifaka)
Lineage: Eukaryota; Metazoa; Chordata; Mammalia; Primates; Indriidae
Exons: 2
Source: RefSeq, a predicted model, not a curated record
AUAAUUGGCUGUGUCACGUGGAACCUCUUAGCCUAAUAUCCGGAGCUCCAGGAAGGGAAAAAUUUCAAUUCAGAUAGAAUUACAUAUACACCAUUUCUUUGGAGCCUUCAGCCCUCCAGAUCCCAACAUCAUGACUUCAGUUUCAACACAAUUGCUGUUAGUCCUCAUUUCACUGCUUUUGGUGCUGCCUGUUGUUGAAGCAGUGGAAGCUGGAGAUGCAAUUGCUCUUUUGUUAGGCGUGGUUCUCAGCAUUACGGGCAUUUGUGCUUGCUUGGGGAUAUAUGCACGGAAGAGAAAUGGACAGAUGUGACUUUGAAAGACCUCCUGAAUCAAACCUUGCCCUAAAAACCUUUGUGCUGUUGAGGCUAAACCCGAGCUUUGAUGUCUGAAAGUUUCCAAGAAACAAUAAAUAGGGGAGUUUCAUAUUCUUUGUUGUUUCCCUUAAAAUGGGAACAACUUGAUAUAUAAAU